GCGAGUGUAGCUCAAUGGUAGAGCGCCAGCUUCCCAAGCUGGACACGCGGGUUCGAUUCCCGUCACUCGCU
Molecule: transfer RNA, 71 nt
Filed under: Austwickia sp.
Lineage: Bacteria; Bacillati; Actinomycetota; Actinomycetes; Micrococcales; Dermatophilaceae
Description: tRNA-Gly
Rfam family: tRNA
About the family: Transfer RNA (tRNA) molecules are approximately 80 nucleotides in length.
Source: RNAcentral